GUGAAUUUUUAACGGCCGCGGUAUCCUAACCGCGCGAAGGUAGCAUAAUCACUUGUUCUUUAAAUGGGGACUCGUAUCAACGGCAUCACGAGGGUUUUACUGUCUCCUCUUUUUGAUCAGUGAAAUUGAUCUUCCCGUGAAGAAGCGGGAAUAUUUAUAUAAGACGAGAAGACCCCAUGGAGCUUUAAACCAAAUAGCAACUUAACCAUAUAUUGCCUAAUAAUUUUAAGCCUGUGCUACAAGGUUUUUGGUUGGGGUGACCGCGGAGUAAAGCACAUCCUCCACGACGAAAAGACUACAAUCUUUAUUUAUGAACUACAAUUCUAGAAAUUAGUAUACUAACGUUUACUGACCCGACAAUCGAUCAACGGAACAAGUUACCCUGGGGAUAACAGCGCAAUCUACUUCAAGAGCCCAUAUCGACAAGUAGGCUUACGACCUCGAUGUUGGAUCAGGGUAUCCCAGUGGUGCAGCCGCUACUGAGGGUGGGGCUUGUUCUUCAAUUAAAAACCUACGGAGGGCUGUGUUUUUGAACGCGAGG
RNAcentral lists this ribosomal RNA (541 nucleotides) under Polypedates braueri (Java treefrog). Its description in RNAcentral is "partial large subunit ribosomal RNA". It matches the Rfam family "Bacterial large subunit ribosomal RNA", at positions 1912 to 2623 of the family's 2925-position model. Lineage: Eukaryota; Metazoa; Chordata; Amphibia; Anura; Rhacophoridae. The record is from RNAcentral.